Molecule: ribosomal RNA, 614 nt
Filed under: uncultured bacterium
Lineage: Bacteria
Description: bacterial SSU rRNA
Rfam family: Bacterial small subunit ribosomal RNA (bases 1-541)
Source: RNAcentral
CCUACGGGAGGCAGCAGUGGGGAAUUUUGGACAAUGGGGGCAACCCUGAUCCAGCCAUGCCGCGUGAGUGAAGAAGGCCUUCGGGUUGUAAAGCUCUUUCGGCCGGAACGAAAUCGCGCACGUGAAUAACGUGCGUGGAUGACGGUACCGGAGUAAGAAGCACCGGCUAACUACGUGCCAGCAGCCGCGGUAAUACGUAGGGUGCGAGCGUUAAUCGGAAUUACUGGGCGUAAAGCGUGCGCAGGCGGUUCGCUAAGUCAGACGUGAAAGCCCCGGGCUUAACCUGGGAACGGCGUUUGAAACUGGCGGGCUCGAGUACGGCAGAGGGGGGUGGAAUUCCACGUGUAGCAGUGAAAUGCGUAGAUAUGUGGAGGAACACCGAUGGCGAAGGCAGCCCCCUGGGCCGAUACUGACGCUCAUGCACGAAAGCGUGGGGAGCAAACAGGAUUAGAUACCCUGGUAGUCCACGCCCUAAACUAUGUCAACUAGUUGUCGGGGAGGCAAUUCCUUGGUAACGCAGCUACGACGUGAGUAGACCGCCGUGGGAGGUACGGUCGCGAGAUAAACUACAAGAAGUAGAGCGNGAGAGNGCGACGACGACGACGAGGGAGAGG